UAGCUCAGUUGGUAGAGAAUCUGCCUGCAAUGCAGGAGACCCAGGUUCAAUUCCUGG
RNAcentral lists this transfer RNA (57 nucleotides) under Capra hircus (goat). It matches the Rfam family "tRNA", at positions 8 to 63 of the family's 71-position model. From Rfam's summary of the family: Transfer RNA (tRNA) molecules are approximately 80 nucleotides in length. Their secondary structure includes four short double-helical elements and three loops (D, anti-codon, and T loops). The record is from Rfam by way of RNAcentral. Lineage: Eukaryota; Metazoa; Chordata; Mammalia; Artiodactyla; Bovidae. RNAcentral also lists the same sequence under 1 other name.